Molecule: ribosomal RNA, 571 nt
Filed under: Acinetobacter johnsonii
Lineage: Bacteria; Pseudomonadati; Pseudomonadota; Gammaproteobacteria; Moraxellales; Moraxellaceae
Description: bacterial SSU rRNA
Rfam family: Bacterial small subunit ribosomal RNA
Source: RNAcentral
UCGAGCGGGGAAGGGUAGCUUGCUACCUUACCUAGCGGCGGACGGGUGAGUAAUGCUUAGGAAUCUGCCUAUUAGUGGGGGACAACAUUCCGAAAGGAAUGCUAAUACCGCAUACGCCCUACGGGGGAAAGCAGGGGAUCUUCGGACCUUGCGCUAAUAGAUGAGCCUAAGUCAGAUUAGCUAGUUGGUGGGGUAAAGGCCUACCAAGGCGACGAUCUGUAGCGGGUCUGAGAGGAUGAUCCGCCACACUGGGACUGAGACACGGCCCAGACUCCUACGGGAGGCAGCAGUGGGGAAUAUUGGACAAUGGGCGAAAGCCUGAUCCAGCCAUGCCGCGUGUGUGAAGAAGGCCUUUUGGUUGUAAAGCACUUUAAGCGAGGAGGAGGCUACUUGGAUUAAUACUCUAGGAUAGUGGACGUUACUCGCAGAAUAAGCACCGGCUAACUCUGUGCCAGCAGCCGCCGGUAAUACAGAGGGUGCGAGCGUUAAUCGGAUUUACUGGGCGUAAAGCGUGCGUAGGCGGCUUCUUAAGUCGGAUGUGAAAUCCCUGAGCUUAACUUAGGAAUUGCAU